GGGCCCGCACAAGCAGUGGAGUAUGUGGUUUAAUUCGACGCAACGCGAAGAACCUUACCAGGGCUUGACAUCCCUUGAACGCUGUAGAGAUACAGUUUCUCUUCGGAGCAAGGAGACAGGUGGUGCAUGGUUGUCGUCAGCUCGUGUCGUGAGAUGUUGGGUUAAGUCCCGCAACGAGCGCAACCCCUGUUGUUAGUUGCCAUCAUUAAGUUGGGCACUCUAGCGAGACUGCCGGUGACAAAUCGGAGGAAGGUGGGGACGACGUCAAAUCAUCAUGCCCCUUAUGUCCUGGGCUACACACGUACUACAAUGGCUGUUACAGAGGGAAGCAAGUCCGCGAGGAGGAGCAAACCCCCAAAGGCAGCCUCAGUUCGGAUUGCAGGCUGAAACUCGCCUGCAUGAAGUCGGAAUUGCUAGUAAUGGCAGGUCAGCAUACUGCCGUGAAUACGUUCCCGGGCCUU
This 461-nucleotide ribosomal RNA is filed under the name uncultured bacterium. Its description in RNAcentral is "bacterial SSU rRNA". It matches the Rfam family "Bacterial small subunit ribosomal RNA", at positions 917 to 1382 of the family's 1533-position model. The record is from RNAcentral.